RNAcentral lists this ribosomal RNA (253 nucleotides) under uncultured bacterium. RNAcentral's name for it is "partial 16S ribosomal RNA". It matches the Rfam family "Bacterial small subunit ribosomal RNA", at positions 524 to 776 of the family's 1533-position model. The record is from RNAcentral.
GACGAACCGUACGAACGUUAUUCGGAAUUACUGGGCUUAAAGGGUGCGUAGGCUGUGCGGAAAGUUGGGCGUGAAAUACCUCAGCUUAACUGAGGAACUGCGUUCAAAACUACCGUGCUUGAGGGAGACAGAGGUAAGCGGAACUGAGGGUGGAGCGGUGAAAUGCGUUGAUAUCAGGAGGAACACCGGUGGCGAAGGCGGGUCUCUGGGCCGAUACUGACGCUGAGGAGCGAAAGCGUGGGGAGCAAACAGG